This 108-nucleotide ribosomal RNA is filed under the name Acanthosepion pharaonis. The record is from RNAcentral. Lineage: Eukaryota; Metazoa; Mollusca; Cephalopoda; Sepiida; Sepiidae.
UUACGGCCAUAUCAUGUUGAAACAAGUUUUCAUAUGAUCACUGAAGUUAAGCAACAUUGAGCCUGGUCAGUACUUAGAUUGGUGACUGCUUGGGAAUACCAGGUGCCA